UAACAAGGAUUCCCCUAGUAACUGCGAGUGAAGCGGGAAGAGCUCAAAUUUAAAAUCUGGCAGUCUCCUGGCUGUCCGAGUUGUAAUCUGGAGAAGCGUUUUCUGUGUUAGACCGUGUACAAGUCUCCUGGAACGGAGCGUCAUAGAGGGUGAGAAUCCCGUCCAUGACACGGACUACUAAUACUUUGUGAUACGCUCUCGAAGAGUCGAGUUGUUUGGGAAUGCAGCUCAAAAUGGGUGGUAAAUUCCAUCUAAAGCUAAAUACAGGCGAGAGACCGAUAGCGAACAAGUACCGUGAGGGAAAGAUGAAAAGCACUUUGGAAAGAGAGUUAAACAGUACGUGAAAUUGUUGAAAGGGAAACGCUUGAAGUCAGUCGCGUUGUGCAGAACUCAGCCUUGCCUCGGCUUGGUGUACUUUCUGCACAACGGGUCAACAUCAAUUUUGGCCCAUGGAGAAAGGUGGGGGGAAUGUAGCGCUGUUUCGGCAGCGUGUUAUAGCCCUCCUCUGUAUACAUGGGCUGGGAUUGAGGAACGCAGCACGCCCUUGUGGCCGGGGGUUCGCCCCACGUACCGUGCUUAGGAUGUUGGCAGAAUGGCUUUAAGCGACCCGUCUUGAAACACNGACCAAGGAGUCUAACAUGCUUGCGAGUGUUCGGGUGGAAAACCCUUGUGCGGAAUGAAAGUGAAAGUUGGGAACCUCCGCGAGGGGGUGCACCGACGCCCGGCCC
RNAcentral lists this ribosomal RNA (728 nucleotides) under Fomitiporia chilensis. RNAcentral's name for it is "partial large subunit ribosomal RNA". It matches the Rfam family "Eukaryotic large subunit ribosomal RNA", at positions 66 to 771 of the family's 3401-position model. Lineage: Eukaryota; Fungi; Basidiomycota; Agaricomycetes; Hymenochaetales; Hymenochaetaceae. The record is from RNAcentral.